RNAcentral lists this ribosomal RNA (435 nucleotides) under uncultured bacterium. Its description in RNAcentral is "partial 16S ribosomal RNA". It matches the Rfam family "Bacterial small subunit ribosomal RNA", at positions 29 to 507 of the family's 1533-position model. The record is from RNAcentral.
AACGAACGCUGGCGGCAGGCCUAACACAUGCAAGUCGAGCGGACAUCUUCGGAUGUUAGCGGCGGACGGGUGAGUAACGCGUGGGAACGUGCCCUUUGCUUCGGAAUAGCCUCGGGAAACUGGGAGUAAUACCGGAUGUACCCUUUGGGGGAAAGAUUUAUCGGCAAAGGAUCGGCCCGCGUUGGAUUAGGUAGUUGGUGGGGUAAUGGCCUACCAAGCCGCCGAUCCAUAGCUGGUUUGAGAGGAUGAUCAGCCACACUGGGACUGAGACACGGCCCAGACUCCUACGGGAGGCAGCAGUGGGGAAUCUUAGACAAUGGGGGAAACCCUGAUCGAGCCAUGCCGCGUGAGCGAUGAAGGCCUUAGGGUUGUAAAGCUCUUUCACCGGGGAAGAUAAUGACGGUACCCGGAGAAGAAGCCCCGGCUAACUCCGUG